CCUACGGGUGGCAGCAGUGAGGAAUAUUGGUCAAUGGCCGAGAGGCUGAACCAGCCAAGUCGCGUGAGGGAAGACGGCCCUACGGGUUGUAAACCUCUUUUGUCGGGGAGCAAAGAGAGUCACGUGUGACACAUUGAGAGUACCCGAAGAUACAGCAUCGGCUAACUCCGGGCCAGCAGCCGCGGUAAUCCGGAGGGUGCGAGCGUUAAUCGGAAGUACUGGGCGUAAAGAGCCCGGAGGCGGGAUGCCAAGUCAAGGGUGAAAUCCCCGCGCUCAACGUGGGAACUGCCUUUGAAACUGGCAAACUGGAGUGUGUGAGAGGAUAGUGGAAUGCCAGGUGUAGGAGUGAAAUCCGUAGAUAUCUGGAGGAACAUCAGUGGCGAAGGCGACUAUCUGGCACAUAACUGACGCUGAGGAGCGAAAGCGUGGGUAGCAAACAGGAUUAGAUACCCUAGUAGUC
Molecule: ribosomal RNA, 460 nt
Filed under: uncultured bacterium
Lineage: Bacteria
Description: partial 16S ribosomal RNA
Rfam family: Bacterial small subunit ribosomal RNA
Source: RNAcentral